UCUAUUUUAUGUACUAUUAGUGUCUAUAUAUUUAUCAGUAGUACUGGAGUAACUGAUGGAUCAGUGAUACAAUCAUUGAUACAAGUUAUGACUGAUGAGAAUUACCAGCUCACUGGACCCUGACUCUCGCCUGACUCUAAGAAUCUGAGGAGUUAUUACGUGUGUAUCCUCCAUAUAUAAAUUAUUUUGAAGUCUCUAAGGAGGCUCUCAGUUCCUGUGAUUGUCAGUUCCCAAGGUUUCAUGCUUUCCUUAAGUGUAAUGAGUCCAAACCAGAGUGUGGCCGCCAGACACUAUCAGAACUACUGAUAACACCAGUACAAA
Long non-coding RNA from Amphimedon queenslandica, 321 nucleotides. RefSeq lists it as uncharacterized. The transcript is spliced from 2 exons. NCBI's taxonomy places the organism in Eukaryota, Metazoa, Porifera, Demospongiae, Haplosclerida, Niphatidae. The record is from RefSeq and is a predicted model, not a curated record.